GGAUUAGAUACCCUGGUAGUCCACGCUGUAAACGAUGUCGACUUGGAGGUUGUGCCCUUGAGGUGUGGCUUCCGGAGCUAACGCGUUAAGUCGACCGCCUGGGGAGUACGGCCGCAAGGUUAAAACUCAAAUGAAUUGACGGGGGCCCGCACAAGCGGUGGAGCAUGUGGUUUAAUUCGAUGCAACGCGAAGAACCUUACCUGGUCUUGACAUCCACGGAAGUUUUCAGAGAUGAGAAUGUGCCUUCGGGAACCGUGAGACAGGUGCUGCAUGGCUGUCGUCAGCUCGUGUUGUGAAAUGUUGGGUUAAGUCCCGCAACGAGCGCAACCCUUAUCCUUUGUUGCCAGCGGUCCGGCCGGGAACUCAAAGGAGACUGCCAGUGAUAAACUGGAGGAAGGUGGGGAUGACGUCAAGUCAUCAUGGCCCUUACGACCAGGGCUACACACGUGCUACAAUGGCGCAUACAAAGAGAAGCGACCUCGCGAGAGCAAGCGGACCUCAUAAAGUGCGUCGUAGUCCGGAUUGGAGUCUGCAACUCGACUCCAUGAAGUCGGAAUCGCUAGUAAUCGUGGAUCAGAAUGCCACGGUGAAUACGUUCCCGGGCCUUGUACACACCGCCCGUCACACCAUGGGAGUGGGUUGCAAAAGAAGUAGGUAGCUUAACCUUCGGGAGGGCGCUUACCACUUUGUGAUUCAUGACUGGGGUGAAGUCGUAACAAGGUAACCGUAGGGGAACCUGCGGUUGGAUCACCUCCUUACCUUAAAGAAGC
Molecule: ribosomal RNA, 770 nt
Filed under: Shigella flexneri
Lineage: Bacteria; Pseudomonadati; Pseudomonadota; Gammaproteobacteria; Enterobacterales; Enterobacteriaceae
Description: bacterial SSU rRNA
Rfam family: Bacterial small subunit ribosomal RNA
Source: RNAcentral